CCUACGGGUGGCAGCAGUGAGGAAUUUUGGUCAAUGGACGGAAGUCUGAACCAGCCAUGCCGCGUGCAGGAAGACGGCUCUAUGAGUUGUAAACUGCUUUUGUACAAGGGUAAACCUGAAUACGUGUAUUCUUCUGACAGUACUUUACGAAUAAGGAUCGGCUAACUCCGUUCCAGCAGCCGCGGUAAUACGGAGGAUCCGAGUGUUGUCCGGCUUGAUUGGGUUUAAAGGAUGCGUAGGCGGAUUGAUAAGUUAGAGGUGAAAUGUCCGAGCUUAACUCGGGAACUGCCUCUAAUACUGUUGAUCUAGAGAGUAGAUGCGGUAGGCGGAAUGUAUGGUGUAGCGGUGAAAUGCUUAGAGAUCAUACAGAACACCGAUGGCGAAGGCAGCUUACCAAGCUAUAUCUGACGUUGAGGCACGAAAGCGUGGGGAGCAAACAGGAUUAGAUACCCUUGUAGUC
This 460-nucleotide ribosomal RNA is filed under the name uncultured bacterium. RNAcentral's name for it is "partial 16S ribosomal RNA". It matches the Rfam family "Bacterial small subunit ribosomal RNA", at positions 338 to 795 of the family's 1533-position model. The record is from RNAcentral.